GCAGAAAUUCUGAGCCUGUUCUAAUAGGAGCCUGCUCUAACAGACACCUGCUGCCCAGAGCUCUUUAUCACGGGAGCAGGCUGCUUCUAGGAUGCCUUCCUGGAUCUUGGACUGGAGAAAAGCCCCCAUGCUCUCUCCUCAGAGUCCACUUUUCCUCCAGAGUGCUUUCUUUUCUUCUGUCUUAGGUAUCCCAGUCAGAAGAGUAGAAGACCAUUGGCUCACACUGUCACCUUCAGUUUUGCCUUUGAACAAGCUGUAGACAUGAUGGCUGAAACUUCAAUGCUGAGCAAUUUGAAGAAGAGGCAACCUUGAAGAUGAAAGCCACUUACUUACUGAUGGUGGCAGUACAGAAAAAGCAGAUGCCUGGGCUCCUGAAUGCUGUUCACCCCUAUGCCAUCCCUGCACCCUCUUUAGCUGCAUGAGAGGGAAAAUACCUGAUUUGAUGUAUUUUCACCAUGGUUCUUAUUAGAUGGUGUGGUGAGGCUCUCUAUUCUGCACUGAAUACUCUCUACAAGUCAUACAAUGAGAAAUAUGGUCAUCUGAGU
RNAcentral lists this long non-coding RNA (545 nucleotides) under Mus musculus (house mouse). RNAcentral's name for it is "predicted gene, 46652". Lineage: Eukaryota; Metazoa; Chordata; Mammalia; Rodentia; Muridae. The record is from RNAcentral.